This 449-nucleotide ribosomal RNA is filed under the name uncultured bacterium. Its description in RNAcentral is "bacterial SSU rRNA". It matches the Rfam family "Bacterial small subunit ribosomal RNA", at positions 354 to 796 of the family's 1533-position model. The record is from RNAcentral.
GUGGGGAAUAUUGGACAAUGGGCGCAAGCCUGAUCCAGCAAUACCGCGUGUGUGAAGAAGGCCUGAGGGUUGUAAAGCACUUUCAAUAGGGAGGAAUAGCUAUCGGCUAAUACCCGGUAGUCUGACAUUACCUAUACAAGAAGCACCGGCUAACUCCGUGCCAGCAGCCGCGGUAAUACGGAGGGUGCAAGCGUUAAUCGGAAUUACUGGGCGUAAAGCGUGCGUAGGCGGUUAUUUAAGUCAGAUGUGAAAGCCCCGGGCUUAACCUGGGAACUGCAUUUGAUACUGGGUGACUAGAGUUGAGUAGAGGAGAGGGGAAUUUCAGGUGUAGCGGUGAAAUGCGUAGAGAUCUGAAGGAACACCAGUGGCGAAGGCGCCUCUCUGGACUCAAACUGACGCUGAGGUACGAAAGCGUGGGUAGCAAACAGGAUUAGAAACCCCAGUAGUCC